UCCCGGGGGGCUAAUUCCAGGGUUGAAGCUCACGUUAGGGAGCGAGGCCGGGGCUCCCUAAAUGUUUCCAUGAGCUGUUUAUAUUGAGUUCAUGGAAAGGUGGGCACUUGUAAAUAACUUUUUUAUUCCAUAUUCAUUAUUUAAUAAAGCUCUAAUGAAUAUGGGAUUAUAAAUCUUUAAAAACAAUGUUAGUAACAUUGGUUUUAAUGAUUUAAUCGUUAUUGAAAUUAUUGUACCGAUCAAUAAAGCGCAGUAACUUAAUUCUAGUGUGAUUAUACAUAUACUAUGCACGAUGUGCACGUGCGUCUACUCUACUAUAGCUCCCGUAUUUUUACGUAUUAUUAAUUGUACAUACUAUAUAAUAUACUUACGUGCUGUCUUGUAUAUAAUACUGCUAAUACUCCCGGGGGGCUAAUUCCAGGGUUGAAGCUCACGUUAGGGAGCGAGGCCGGGGCUCCCUAA
Long non-coding RNA from Pieris napi, 462 nucleotides. RefSeq lists it as uncharacterized. Lineage: Eukaryota; Metazoa; Arthropoda; Insecta; Lepidoptera; Pieridae. The record is from RefSeq and is a predicted model, not a curated record. The transcript is spliced from 2 exons.